AAUCGAACCCGGAGAUAGCUGGUUCUCCUCGAAAUAGCUUUAGGGCUAGCCUCAUGGAUCAUUGAUGGGGGUAGAGCACUGAAUGUGCGCGGGGGCCACAAAGCCUACCAAACGCUAUCAAACUUCGAAUACCAUACAAUGCAGACCAUGGGAGUCAGUCCGCGAGAGAUAAGUUCCGCGGGCAAAAGGGGAACACCCCAGAUCAACCGCUAAGGUCCCCAAGUUCACGUUAAGUGGAGAAGGAUGUGGAAUUGCACAGACAACCAGGAUGUUGGCUCAGAAGCAGCCACACAUUUAAAGAGUGCGUAAUAGCUCACUGGUCGAGUGAUUGUGCGCCGAAGAUGUCCGGGGCUAAACGUGACACCGAAGCGAUGGGUGCAUCUGAAAGGAUGCGCGGUAGAGGAGCAAUGUGCAGAGGCAGAAGCCGUAUCGAGAGGCACGGUGGACACUGCACAAGAGAGAAUGCCGGUAUGAGUAGCGAGAGGCAUGCGAGAAACAUGCCCGUCGAAAGCCCAAGGUUUCCUGGGGAAGGUUCAUCCGCCCAGGGUAAGUCGGGGCCUAAGCCGAGGACGGAAGUCGUAGGCGAUGGACAGCAGGUGUAGAUUCCUGCACUACCGAUGGAAUGAAGCAGUGACACAGAAGGAUAACUCGAGCAGGGUGAUGGUCAACCCUGUGCAAGCAUCAAGGUUGGGUUGUAGUGAAGUACGCAAUCCUAUAAGCUGAGGUGUGAUGCGGACCGAAAUUUCAGUAGGGAAGCGAGUGAGUUCACGCUGGCGAGAAAAGCUGCUAGUACAUCCAAAGGUACCCGUACCGGAAACCGACGCAGGUGGGCGAGGAGAGAAUCCUGAGACGAACGGGAGAACCCUUGUUAAGGAACUCGGCAAAAUGACCCCGUAACUUCGGGAUAAGGGGUGCCUGCGAGAGCAGGCCGCAGAGAAUAGUCACAAGCGACUGUUUAGCAAAAACACAGGUAUCUGCGAAAGCGAGAGCUGACGUAUAGGUGCUGACACCUGCCCGGUGCUGGAAGGUUAAGGGAACAUGUUAGAGCAAUCGAAGCAUCGAACCGAAGCCCCAGUAAACGGCGGCCGUAACUAUAACGGUCCUAAGGUAGCGAAAUUCCUUGUCGGGUAAGUUCCGACCCGCACGAAUGGUGUAACGACUUGUGAGCUGUCUCAACAGGGGGCCCGGUGAAAUUGAAGUAUGGGUGAAGAUGCCCAUUACCCGCGACUGGACGGAAAGACCCCGUAGAGCUUUACUGCAGCCUGAUAUUGAGUUUCGGUAACUGAUGCACAGGAUAGGUGGGAGUCUGAGAGACACGGGUUUCGGCUCGUGUGGAGACGCUGUUGGGAUACCACUCUUCGGUUACUGAAAUUCUAACAUAGCUCUGUGAAACCAGAGGAUGGACAGUGUCAGGUGGACAGUUUGACUGGGGCGGUCGCCUCCGAAAGAGUAACGGAGGCGCCCAAAGGUACCCUCAGAAUGGAUGGAAACCAUUCGAAGAGCGCAAAGGCAGAAGGGUGCCUGACUGCGAGAGUGACAACUCGAGCAGAGACGAAAGUCGGGCUUAGUGAUCCGGCGGUAUUGAGUGGAAAAGCCGUCGCUUAACGGAUAAAAGCUACCUCGGGGAUAACAGGCUGAUCUCCCCCAAGAGUCCACAUCGACGGGGAGGUUUGGCACCUCGAUGUCGGCUCAUCGCAUCCUGGGGCUGUAUUCGGUCCCAAGGGUUUGGCUGUUCGCCAAUUAAAGCGGCACGCGAGCUGGGUUCAGAACGUCGUGAGACAGUUCGGUCCCUAUCCAUCGUGGGCGUAGGAGUCAUGAGAGGAGCUGUUCCUAGUACGAGAGGACCGGAAUGGACGCACCACUGGUGCAACUGUUGUCGUGCCAACGGCAUAGCAGGGAAGCGAAGUGCGGAUGGGAUAAACGCUGAAGGCAUCUAAGCGUGAAGCCCACCUCAAGAAUAAGACUCCACAAUAGACCCCUGGAGGACUACCAGGUAGAUAGGUCAUCGGUGGAAGCGCUGUAAGGCGUGU
This 2030-nucleotide ribosomal RNA is filed under the name metagenome. RNAcentral describes it as "bacterial LSU rRNA". It matches the Rfam family "Bacterial large subunit ribosomal RNA", at positions 831 to 2888 of the family's 2925-position model. The record is from RNAcentral.